This 515-nucleotide ribosomal RNA is filed under the name uncultured bacterium. Its description in RNAcentral is "bacterial SSU rRNA". It matches the Rfam family "Bacterial small subunit ribosomal RNA", at positions 8 to 524 of the family's 1533-position model. The record is from RNAcentral.
AGAGUUUGAUCCUGGCUCAGGAUGAACGCUAGCGGCAGGCUUAACACAUGCAAGUCGAGGGGUAUGGUUCUUCGGAACCAGAGACCGGCGCACGGGUGCGUAACGCGUAUGCAAUCUACCUUUCACAGAGGGAUAGCCCAGAGAAAUUUGGAUUAAUACCUCAUAGUAUAUUGGUCUCGCAUGAGAUUAUUAUUAAAGAUUUAUCGGUGAAAGAUGAGCAUGCGUCCCAUUAGUUAGUUGGUAAGGUAACGGCUUACCAAGACUACGAUGGGUAGGGGUCCUGAGAGGGAGAUCCCCCACACUGGUACUGAGACACGGACCAGACUCCUACGGGAGGCAGCAGUGAGGAAUAUUGGACAAUGGGCGCAAGCCUGAUCCAGCCAUGCCGCGUGCAGGAUGACGGUCCUAUGGAUUGUAAACUGCUUUUAUACGAGAAGAAACACUGGUUCGUGAACCAGCUUGACGGUAUCGUAAGAAUAAGGAUCGGCUAACUCCGUGCCAGCAGCCGCGGUAAU